AACGAACGCUGGCGGCAGGCCUAACACAUGCAAGUCGCAGGGGAAGCCGUUCUUCGGGAUGGUGGAGACUGGCGCACGGGUGAGUAACGCGUGGGUAUCUGCCCUGGGGUGGGGGAUAACCGCUGGAAACGGCGGCUAAUACCGCAUACGCCCUAAGGGGAAAGUCUUUUAGGCGCUCUGGGAGGAGCCCGCGUCCGAUUAGCUUGUUGGUGGGUAACGGCUCACCAAGGCGACGAUCGGUAGCUGGUCUGAGAGGAUGAUCAGCCACACUGGGACUGAGACACGGCCCAGACUCCUACGGGAGGCAGCAGUGGGGAAUAUUGGACAAUGGGCGCAAGCCUGAUCCAGCCAUGCCGCGUGAGUGAAGAAGGCCUUAGGGUUGUAAAGCUCUUUCACCGGUGAAGAUGAUGACGGUAGCCGGAGAAGAAGCCCCGGCUAACUCCGUG
This 446-nucleotide ribosomal RNA is filed under the name uncultured bacterium. RNAcentral describes it as "bacterial SSU rRNA". It matches the Rfam family "Bacterial small subunit ribosomal RNA", at positions 28 to 507 of the family's 1533-position model. The record is from RNAcentral.